Non-coding RNA from Python bivittatus (Burmese python), 713 nucleotides. The record is from RefSeq and is a predicted model, not a curated record. Lineage: Eukaryota; Metazoa; Chordata; Lepidosauria; Squamata; Pythonidae.
CUGCCUUGAGAUCAUGUCCACUGGAGCACCAAUUCUAACCCUACCACUUUUCUUCCUUUCCAGCAAAAAAGAGAAAAACAGAAGCUAAAAGAAAGUAAUAGCCUCUCAGAUGCUUUGCAUUUACUAAAAAGUCUAAAAAAUGAUUGACAAAUGAUGGAUUGAGUCAUUCUGACUGGGCUGCUAGUACAUGGAAAUACGCUAACUGGCAGAAAGAUGAUUCACUCAGCCAUGUUGCGUGAACGCAGCCAUGAUGACUUAAUCUAUUAUUCAGAUACACAACUGGAUAUCAUCAACAUCCUGAGGAUACCACAUCCCAAAUCAAUGGAUGAUCUCUUCCAGUGGAUUCAGAGUUCCUUGGUGAAUUAGGAGCAUCCUGGGAUUGGUGAACAAAGAAAGGCUGUUCAGAGGCAAUCACUCAAAGCAUCCUGGUCACCUCCUGAUUCAACAUUAAAUAAAGGCCUCAAUGGAACUUUAUCUAUCAGAUCACUAGGAAAUCCCCAAAACCUUAUUGGACUUUAUCAGGAUCUGUAAAAUGACUUACAGAUCCUGUAAAUCUUAAUCCUGUAAACCCUGUAAUCUUAACUGGUCCUUCUACCUAUGGAGGUCUUAGGUUGCAACCAUGGCAAAGGACUCAAAGUAAUAUCUUCCAUUUUCAGUUCACACAGCAGCUGCUCUGGGGCACAUGCAAGAUGAAGCUUAUGUCCACCAGCAUG